UGAUCCUACUUGGAUGGGACUUGCUCUGUGUGUUUCUUUCUCAGUCCAUGAGCAUGGGACUACCAUUGUUGACAAUCUGGAUUCACAUGUUCCUUGUGACUUUAUCAUUUGUGUAUUGCAAACCGAUAUUUGUGGUCUGGGACAUGUCCACAUGGACCAUAUGUAUUGCCUCACCAAAGAAGAUCUCAUGUUGUUACGUCUAAGUGGAUUCAUUUGGCUUUCUUAUAUACCACGUGGGUCGUUUCCAAAAUGGUUGAUUCAUAGCAGUUUCAUUGAGGCUUCAAUUGCGACCGAUUGCCUGGGCUUGACAGUGCAGAAAUGUGGGUUCCGUCUUUUGUAUGAGAACGAAGAGAUAGAGUUUAAGGAAACAAUAAGACAUUUAAGCCAAACCCGGGAUGUCAGUAGUGAUCAAUUAACGAUUGCUAAUGAAAAUCCCCUUCCCUCUUCCCUGUAUUACUCAGAAAAGAGAAAAAACAGGUUGCUAAUGAAAAGACGGAGGACAAAGCAGCUGAGCUCAGUACAACCAAGCAUAAAGACAAGGGCAAAAGAAUCGUAGAAUAACCUCUCCUCUACUUGGGCUACUGCUUUUGUUACUUUGGGGCUCUAGCUUCCUUUUUGAUUUAAUAGUCCGGUGAACGUACAGCAUUGUAGUGCUCCCACAAUGUGCCAAUAUUCUGCUACAAUAAGACUGCAAGUGUGGGCUGCAUCUUUUAUACCAAAAUGACGAUGAGUUUUUUAAGGAAAUACUGAUCAGUACAACCAGCAUCUCUGACGAGCACUUUCACCUUGAUCCACAUAGUAAGAAUCAAGACUUUGAUCGAUGCCUUGUCUAUAAUUCUUGUUUUCCUCCACACGACAUUUAUGACUGGUUCAGCCAUCGGAGUGAUGAGCCCCAAGUGACAAUCUUUCUACCUACAAAUUUGUCACUUGGAUGGGACUUGCUUUUUGUGUUUCUUUCUCAGUCCAAGA
This is a non-coding RNA of Corylus avellana, 969 nucleotides long. NCBI's taxonomy places the organism in Eukaryota, Viridiplantae, Streptophyta, Magnoliopsida, Fagales, Betulaceae. The record is from RefSeq and is a predicted model, not a curated record.